GGAGUCACGCGAAGUCGGAAGUACCAGCUGCGGGAAGGAGCUGCCCACUGUGCGUCUUCUCAACUUGUUGGGACAACCUUCCUGCGGAAAGGAGAGACAACCUUCCUGCAGAAAGGAGCUACCUGCUUCAGGUCUACUGAGAGCUGUUCUGCCACUCAAUAAAGCUCUUCUCCAUCUUGCUAAGCCUCCAUUUGUCCGCAAUACCUCAUCUCCCUGGACGCAGGACAAGAACUCAGGACCCGCCUGGAGGUACUAAAAGAGCUUUAACACAAACAGGGCUGAAACACGCUCCCUUGCUUGCCACAUUGCGGGUGACGAGAAGGAGAAAAGAGCUGUGUUCCUUUGAGGAUCCCAGACCUAGGGUCUCCCUGAGCCAGGGCUGUGACACUCCCUUUGGGGUUCUAUGGUUCCUGGCAUCUUCAAGCUUCCAGGCGCCACCACCUUCGUUCCCUUCAUCCAAACAGGUGCCCACAGCAGAAUCCACAUGCCGUCCAUCUGGUCCAGCCUCACGCAGAGCCACAACUGUGCUGGCGCCUGGAGCUGCCAGCCCCACUGCAGCAGCCGGACUGACAUUCAGACGUGGAGCAAGUUGGACUGCAUAGGGACCCACCAGUGAGAUGGACGCUGUCUGUAAACGGUUCUCCAGGGAGGCUGCUCUGCCAAGUCUGGUAUUUCAUGAAUAGAUCUGAAAACAGACAUUAUCUCUUCUCCCAGUGAAGAGAGAGCGAUGAAGCCUCAGGACAAAAGGAGGCAGUGGGAUGAUGCCACCAAGGGACCAUUCUGAAGAGCCAUCAGCAAAAAGC
RNAcentral lists this long non-coding RNA (803 nucleotides) under Homo sapiens (human). RNAcentral's name for it is "non-protein coding LINC01579:20". The record is from RNAcentral. Lineage: Eukaryota; Metazoa; Chordata; Mammalia; Primates; Hominidae.